Long non-coding RNA from Brienomyrus brachyistius, 826 nucleotides. RefSeq lists it as uncharacterized. The record is from RefSeq and is a predicted model, not a curated record. The transcript has 5 exons. Lineage: Eukaryota; Metazoa; Chordata; Actinopteri; Osteoglossiformes; Mormyridae.
UCCGUGUAAUCAGACCCGCUUGCGUGCGAGGCGCGCGGCGAUCUCAUUCAAUAUUCUAACGGUCGGACUCUCUGGCGGCGCCAUUAGAUAUGAACUUACACACGGGGCGAUGUCUGAAAACCGUGCAAUUUCUGCCCGUUGUCAGCUUCUGAUUAAAAGAGUAAAUGGCUACACAAAAGGGAGAAAGACGUCAAGAGCUGCAGCGGAAGGAAAGUGUCAGAAUGAAUCUGGCAUUUAGUUGUUGCAGAAGAGCCAGAGGGACCUUAGACCAGUCAUGCUUGCUAAUCAGCCUGAAACAGCAGCUGCUUUGAGCAGUUGUGAAUCUCAGUUACUGACGGGGCUGGAGGAUUCUUCUGCAAGUUACUGAGACGACAAAACGAUGGUUCGUUUCAGACUGCCUAUGUGUUCUGUGUCGUUCUGGACAUAGACCCAUCCAUCAGGGUGUCUCAGAGCAGGGAAGCUUCCAGGAGGGAUCUCAACAGUUCAUUUCCAUUCCAGCCCCCACCACAAACCUCCCGCAAAGUCAUUAGCCACUAAAUAGCCCACACUUGGGGUAGAGCCUGAGCUCCAAGAUGACGUGAGGACCUUACCUUUUCAGAAACUGUUUAUUGUUUGAUCAAGACACUGAGCUAGGUGAGGAGUCAUUGAGGUAAAUCCAAGGGCCGUCUUAUUAAUCCCAGACAGUAAAAAAAAAUAGUUUCACAUGUAAUAAGACUGCAGUUUGCUGGUCCUGUUUGUAAAUGAAGAAUUUACCACUGCACUUUUAACUCUUAGCUAGACAGUAAGUCUCACACAGCAAUGGCACUAGACCAUAGGUCAGGCAAAC